This 206-nucleotide ribosomal RNA is filed under the name uncultured bacterium. RNAcentral's name for it is "partial 16S ribosomal RNA". It matches the Rfam family "Bacterial small subunit ribosomal RNA", at positions 1294 to 1500 of the family's 1533-position model. The record is from RNAcentral.
CGGACUGCAGGCUGCAACCCGCCUGCACGAAGUUGGAAUUGCUAGUAAUCGUGGAUCAGCAUGCCACGGUGAAUACGUUCCCGGGUCUUGUACACACCGCCCGUCACACCAUGGGAGUCGGUAAUACCCGAAGUCAGUAGUCCAACCUCGUGAGGACGCUGCCGAAGGUAGGAUUGGCGACUGGGGUGAAGUCGUAACAAGGUAGC